This 496-nucleotide ribosomal RNA is filed under the name uncultured bacterium. RNAcentral's name for it is "partial 16S ribosomal RNA". It matches the Rfam family "Bacterial small subunit ribosomal RNA", at positions 28 to 506 of the family's 1533-position model. The record is from RNAcentral.
GAUGAACGCUGGCGGCGUGCCUAAUACAUGCAAGUCGAGCGAACGGACGAGAAGCUUGCUUCUCUGAUGUUAGCGGCGGACGGGUGAGUAACACGUGGAUAACCUACCUAUAAGACUGGGAUAACUUCGGGAAACCGGAGCUAAUACCGGAUAAUAUUUUGAACCGCAUGGUUCAAAAGUGAAAGACGGUCUUGCUGUCACUUAUAGAUGGAUCCGCGCUGCAUUAGCUAGUUGGUAAGGUAACGGCUUACCAAGGCAACGAUGCAUAGCCGACCUGAGAGGGUGAUCGGCCACACUGGAACUGGGACACGGUCCAGACUCCUACGGGAGGCAGCAGUAGGGAAUCUUCCGAAAUGGGCGAAAGCCUGACGGAGCAACGCCGCGGGAGGGAUGAAGGUCUUCGGAUCGUAAAACUCUGUUAUUAGGGAAGAACAUAUGUGUAAGUAACUGUGCACAUCUUGACGGUACCUAAUCAGAAAGCCACGGCUAACUACGU